UUCCCGUUAAUGUGUCACACGCACUUUAUAAGCAAUUGUUGUUGCCGGAGAUGGGCGCGGAAAAUGGGGGCGGCGUUGGCGUCUGGAAAAGUUGACGACGCUGUCGACGCCCAUGGCGCAAUUAUUAUGAUUAUUAGGUACAGCUGCACUUGCCCAGCGGCUGCCACUUAUAAGCAAAAAUUGUAAUUUACCUCAGCGCUGUAGCACACUGAGAGAAAAUCGUUUUAAAUCACAGUCUGAACAGUGUAGCCUUAGCAAAAGAUUAUUUCUCAAAGAGCCAAGAAAUCAAAAUUUUAAAACGAGAACAUCCCAAAAGCAGCGACUGAUAUAAUUUCCAUGUCUUAUCGCUUCAAACUUGACAGCAAUAGAAACAUUUUCUGUAAGUGCACUGAAAACUGUUCGCCAGCUUUGCUGCUGUUGUCCAUUAGGGUGGACCUGAACUUUGGUCCGCUUUUGACCGUUCGCUCUGGCUGCUGUGCAUCGCCUUGGGGGUCACGCGUUAAUAAUCGCGCUGAAUGACUUCAUAAUGAAAAUAUUAAAGGUGUUUGUUGCCGCUCUUGUUGUUGUUGCUGCCAGCCGCCGGCCGGGAUCAGGAUAAGUAUAUAUACAUACACAAGGAACGGAACACCCGCAGGACUCGCUCACACAAAAGGCGCAAAGUUUAUGUUUAUGUCAUGCUCUCGAAUGGCAGCAGCGCAGAGUGCACCAUGAGCGGAGGCUGCCUCAAGUGGCAGGUUGAAAUGAGCGAAGAAAAUGUUGGAACUCAGUGCUGGGCACUCAAGAAGAUAAUAUGUAUAUUAAAUGCUUAUUUAAUCAGAAUUGUUGGUACAACGCAAACAAUAUUUUCCAACCUUUA
Molecule: long non-coding RNA, 856 nt
Organism: Drosophila yakuba
Lineage: Eukaryota; Metazoa; Arthropoda; Insecta; Diptera; Drosophilidae
Exons: 2
Source: RefSeq, a predicted model, not a curated record